CGGGUGAGUAACACGUGAGCAACCUGCCCCUGACUCUGGGAUAAGCCUUGGAAACGAGGUCUAAUACCGGAUAUGACGCUCCUACGCAUGUGGGGGUGUGGAAAGAAUUUCGGUCGGGGAUGGGCUCGCGGCCUAUCAGCUUGUUGGUGGGGUGAUGGCCUACCAAGGCGACGACGGGUAGCCGGCCUGAGAGGGCGACCGGCCACACUGGGACUGAGACACGGCCCAGACUCCUACGGGAGGCAGCAGUGGGGAAUAUUGCACAAUGGGCGCAAGCCUGAUGCAUCGACGCCGCGUGAGGGAUGACGGCCUUCGGGUUGUAAACCUCUUUCAGCAGGGAAGAAGCGAAAGUGACGG
This 357-nucleotide ribosomal RNA is filed under the name actinobacterium enrichment culture clone E75. RNAcentral's name for it is "bacterial SSU rRNA". It matches the Rfam family "Bacterial small subunit ribosomal RNA", at positions 103 to 475 of the family's 1533-position model. The record is from RNAcentral. Lineage: Bacteria; Bacillati; Actinomycetota; Actinomycetes.